AAAAGUCAUUGUAAGAUUAACCAUUAUUAAUAAUUUAAAAUUAAAAUAUUUAAAUAAUAGGUGUUAAGUAAGGAUAUAGUAAUGUUAUACAGCUUAGGCAUACUAAUAGAAAAGACCAAAAAAAUUAUAU
Molecule: ribosomal RNA, 130 nt
Filed under: Thismia rodwayi
Lineage: Eukaryota; Viridiplantae; Streptophyta; Magnoliopsida; Dioscoreales; Thismiaceae
Description: 4.5S ribosomal RNA
Source: RNAcentral